RNAcentral lists this ribosomal RNA (588 nucleotides) under uncultured Glomus. RNAcentral describes it as "SSU rRNA". It matches the Rfam family "Eukaryotic small subunit ribosomal RNA", at positions 624 to 1213 of the family's 1831-position model. Lineage: Eukaryota; Fungi; Glomeromycota; Glomeromycetes; Glomerales; Glomeraceae. The record is from RNAcentral.
AAGCUCGUAGUUGAAUUUCGGGAUCAAUGGGUUGGUCAUGCCCUCGGUAUGUACUGAUUUCAUUGGUUCUCACCUUCUAAGGAACCAUGAUGUCAUUUAUUUGAUGUUGUGGGAAAUUAGGACUGUUACCUUGAAAAAAUUAGAGUGUUUAAAGCAGGCUAACGCUUGAAUACAUUAGCAUGGAAUAAUGAAAUAGGACAUCCGAUUCUAUUUUGUUGGUUUCUAGGAUCGAUGUAAUGAUUAAUAGGGAUAGUUGGGGGCAUUAGUAUUCAAUUGUCAGAGGUGAAAUUCUUGGAUUUAUUGAAGACUAACUACUGCGAAAGCAUUUGCCAAGGAUGUUUUCAUUAAUCAAGAACGAAAGUUAGGGGAUCGAAGACGAUCAGAUACCGUCGUAGUCUUAACCAUAAACUAUGCCGACUAGGGAUCGGAUGAUGCCUAUUUUUUAAUGACUCAUUCGGCACCUUACGGGAAACCAAAGUGUUUGGGUUCCGGGGGGAGUAUGGUCGCAAGGCUGAAACUUAAAGGAAUUGACGGAAGGGCACCACCAGGCGUGGAGCCUGCGGCUUAAUUUGACUCAACACGGGGAAA